UAGGGAAUCUUCCGCAAUGGACGCAAGUCUGACGGAGCAACGCCGCGUGAGUGAAGAAGGAUUUCGGUUCGUAAAACUCUGUUGUUAGAGAAGAACAGCGCAUAGAGUAACUGUUAUGCGUGUGACGGUAUCUAACCAGAAAGCCACGGCUAACUACGUGCCAGCAGCCGCGGUAAUACGUAGGUGGCAAGCGUUGUCCGGAUUUAUUGGGCGUAAAGCGAGCGCAGGCGGUCAAUUAAGUCUGAUGUGAAAGCCCCCGGCUCAACCGGGGAGGGUCAUUGGAAACUGGUUGACUUGAGUGCAGAAGAGGAGAGUGGAAUUCCAUGUGUAGCGGUGAAAUGCGUAGAUAUAUGGAGGAACACCAGUGGCGAAGGCGACUCUCUGGUCUGUAACUGACGCUGAGGCUCGAAAGCGUGGGGAUCAAACAGG
This 429-nucleotide ribosomal RNA is filed under the name Bacteroidota bacterium. RNAcentral's name for it is "Bacteroidetes bacterium partial 16S ribosomal RNA". It matches the Rfam family "Bacterial small subunit ribosomal RNA", at positions 355 to 776 of the family's 1533-position model. The record is from RNAcentral. Lineage: Bacteria; Pseudomonadati; Bacteroidota.